GAUGAAGAACGCAGCGAAAUGCGAUAAGUAGUGUGAAUUGCAGAAUUCAGUGAAUCAUCGAAUCUUUGAACGCACAUUGCGCUCCUUGGUAUUCCAUGGGGCAUGCCUGUUCGAGCGUCAUUUGUACCCUCAAGCUCUGCUUGGUGUUGGGUGUUUGUCUCGCGGUUCUGCGCAGACUCGCCUUAAAACAAUUGGCAGCCGGCUUGUUAGCCUGGAGCGCAGCACAUAUUGCGCCUCUUGCUAGCGACUGCCCGGCACCCAUCAAGCCCAUUUAUUUGCUCUUGACCUCGGAUCAGGUAGGGAUACCCGCUGAACUUAAGCAUAUCAAUAAGCGGAGGA
RNAcentral lists this unclassified non-coding RNA (339 nucleotides) under soil metagenome. Its description in RNAcentral is "partial contains 5.8S ribosomal RNA, internal transcribed spacer 2, and large subunit ribosomal RNA". The stretch from base 1 to 120 matches the Rfam family "5.8S ribosomal RNA", at positions 35 to 154 of the family's 154-position model. The record is from RNAcentral.